CCUACGGGUGGCAGCAGUGAGGAAUAUUGGUCAAUGGACGCAAGUCUGAACCAGCCAUGCCGCGUGCAGGAUGACGGCUCUAUGAGUUGUAAACUGCUUUUGUACGAGGGUAAACCCCGAUACGUGUAUCUGGUUGAAAGUAUCGUACGAAUAAGGAUCGGCUAACUCCGUGCCAGCAGCCGCGGUAAUACGGAGGGUCCGAGCGUUAUCCGGAUUUAUUGGGUUUAAGGGGUGCGUAGGCGGUUUGAUAAGUUAGAGGUGAAAUGUCGGGGCUCAACCCCGAAACUGCCUCUAAUACUGUUAGACUAGAGAAUAGUAGCGGUAGGCAGAAUGUAUGGUGUAGCGGUGAAAUGCUUAGAGAUCAUACAGAACACCGAUUGCGAAGGCAGCUUACCAAACUAUAUCUGACGUUGAGGCACGAAAGCGUGGGUAGCAAACAGGAUUAGAUACCCUUGUAGUC
RNAcentral lists this ribosomal RNA (460 nucleotides) under uncultured bacterium. RNAcentral describes it as "partial 16S ribosomal RNA". It matches the Rfam family "Bacterial small subunit ribosomal RNA", at positions 338 to 795 of the family's 1533-position model. The record is from RNAcentral.